AGCAGCCGCGGUAAUUCCAGCUCCAAUAGCGUAUAUUAAAGUUGUUGCGGUUAAAAAGCUCGUAGUUGAAUUUCGGGGUCAGCAGGUUGGUCGUGCCACUGGUAUGCACUGGCCUUGCUGAUUCCUCCCUCUUGAUGAGCCGUAAUGCCAUUAAUUUGGUGUUGCGGGGAAUCAGGACUGUUACUUUGAAAAAAUUAGAGUGUUUAAAGCAGGCAAGCGCUUGAAUACAUUAGCAUGGAAUAAUGAAAUAGGACGUUCGAUCCUAUUUUGUUGGUUUCUAGGAUUGACGUAAUGAUUAAUAGGGAUAGUUGGGGGCAUUAGUAUUCAAUUGUCAGAGGUGAAAUUCUUGGAUUUAUUGAAGACUAACUACUGCGAAAGCAUUUGCCAAGGAUGUUUUCAUUAAUCAAGAACGAAAGUUAGGGGAUCGAAGACGAUCAGAUACCGUCGUAGUCUUAACCAUAAACUAUGCCGACUAGGGAUCGGAUGAUGUUAAUUUUUUAAUGACUCAUUC
Molecule: ribosomal RNA, 511 nt
Filed under: uncultured fungus
Lineage: Eukaryota; Fungi
Description: SSU rRNA
Rfam family: Eukaryotic small subunit ribosomal RNA
Source: RNAcentral